GGAUUAGAUACCCUGGUAGUCCACGCCCUAAACGAUGGACACUAGGCGUUAGAGGUAUCGACCCCUCUAGUGCCGCAGCUAACGCAUUAAGUGUCCCGCCUGGGGAGUACGCUCGCAAGGGUGAAACUCAAAUGAAUUGACGGGGACCCGCACAAGCGGUGGAGCAUGUGGAUUAAUUCGAUACUAACCGAAGAACCUUACCCAGACUUGACAUCGCGGGAAAGCCUAUGAAAGUAGGCCCUCUUCCCACAAGGAAGACCCAAAGACACCUGUUGCAUGGCUGUCGUCAGCUCGUGCCG
This 299-nucleotide ribosomal RNA is filed under the name uncultured bacterium. RNAcentral describes it as "partial 16S ribosomal RNA". It matches the Rfam family "Bacterial small subunit ribosomal RNA", at positions 775 to 1067 of the family's 1533-position model. The record is from RNAcentral.